This 237-nucleotide unclassified non-coding RNA is filed under the name Hevea brasiliensis (rubber tree). The record is from RNAcentral. Lineage: Eukaryota; Viridiplantae; Streptophyta; Magnoliopsida; Malpighiales; Euphorbiaceae.
GGAAAAAGCUUCAGUACAAAUAAAACACAAUUGAGUCUUGCUUUGUAACAAACAAAACAAACAGAUGCACAAACAAUUUGAGAAAAGCAUGCAUGCAUAACAUCUUAGGGUACGAGGAAAGAAACAGCACUGAAAGAAUAAUUUUUGAACUAUUACUUGAGUGCUGACAAAGUGCACAAAAAAUGCAGAAGAUAUCAUCUAUACUCUCAUACACAUGAUCUAUCAUUUCUAAGGCAC